RNAcentral lists this ribosomal RNA (492 nucleotides) under uncultured bacterium. RNAcentral describes it as "partial 16S ribosomal RNA". It matches the Rfam family "Bacterial small subunit ribosomal RNA", at positions 29 to 507 of the family's 1533-position model. The record is from RNAcentral.
AGUGAACGCUGGCGGUAGGCCUAACAGAUGCAAGUCGAACGGCAGCACAGUAAGAGCUUGCUCUUACGGGUGGCGAGUGGCGGACGGGUGAGGAAUACAUCGGAAUCUACUUUUUCGUGGGGGAUAACGUAGGGAAACUUACGCUAAUACCGCAUACGACCUACGGGUGAAAGCAGGGGAUCUUCGGACCUUGCGCGAUUGAAUGAGCCGAUGUCGGAUUAGCUAGUUGGCGGGGUAAAGGCCCACCAAGGCGACGAUCCGUAGCUGGUCUGAGAGGAUGAUCAGCCACACUGGAACUGAGACACGGUCCAGACUCCUACGGGAGGCAGCAGUGGGGAAUAUUGGACAAUGGGCGCAAGCCUGAUCCAGCCAUACCGCGUGGGUGAAGAAGGCCUUCGGGUUGUAAAGCCCUUUUGUUGGGAAAGAAAAGCAGCAGGUUAAUACCCCGCUGUUCUGACGGUACCCAAAGAAUAAGCACCGGCUAACUUCGUG